RNAcentral lists this ribosomal RNA (468 nucleotides) under uncultured bacterium. Its description in RNAcentral is "partial 16S ribosomal RNA". It matches the Rfam family "Bacterial small subunit ribosomal RNA", at positions 28 to 507 of the family's 1533-position model. The record is from RNAcentral.
GACGAACGCUGGCGGCGUGCCUAACACAUGCAAGUCGAACGGAAAGGCCCUGCUUUUGUGGGGUGCUCGAGUGGCGAACGGGUGAGUAACACGUGAGUAACCUGCCCCUGACUGUGGGAUAACUUCAGGAAACUGGGGCUAAUACCGGCUAGGAGCUCCUGCUGCAUGGUGGGGGUUGGUAAGAUUCGGCGGUUGGGGUUGGACUGGCGGCUCAUCGGCUUGUUGGUUGGGUAGUGGCUGACCAAGGCCUUGACGGGUAGCCGGGCUGAGAGGGGGACCGGCCCAGUUGGGCCUGGAAUACGGCCCGGCCCAGAAUGGGAGGGAAGGGUGGAGUAGGUAAUACUAUAGGCGGGGGGAUGGUGUAGCCACGCCGCGUGCGGGAUGUCGGGAAGCGGUUUGUGUUCCACUUUCGUCUUAGACGGGGCGAGAAUGACGGUAAUGGGUAAAGAAGCACCGGCUAACUACGUG